AGAUUUACAGUCAACUCCCGACACAUCUCAAGCCUCCAUCCAUCAUGAAGACUUUCUUCGCUCUUGCUCUGGUCGCCAUCAGUCUGGUCGUCGUCAGUGCUGACAGCACCGACACCGUGAUCAAGGGUUUCUCCGAGGCUCUCUCCAAGCUCGACAUCCCCGCAGACCGCAAGGAGAAAUACCAGGCUGGACUCCAGAAGGCUCGUGCCUGCAUCGAGCCCCUCGUCAAGGACGCCGAUGCGGACAGGAUCUCCGACUACGUCAAGAAACUGACCCCCGUCGUCGCUGAGUGCUCGAAGGUUAUCAAGACCCUGCCCGAGACGCAAGUCAAGGAACGUCAGGAGGCUUUCGGAGCGUGUCUCAAGGAGAAGGUCCAGGGAGCUGACUCGCAAUUCGACGACAAGCAGAAGGAAGUCCUUCCCAAGCUCAAGGUCUGUGUCAUCGACGCCUUGAAGGAAUAAGUUAUUCCGUUGAUUGUUGUAAGAAACUCACAAUGUGCAUACGUACCCGGAACGAACUUCUUUCAAAAAUCAAUUUGCCGUUGAACGCCAUUCGUUGCAUCCGAUCAAAGAAACGGAUCAAAUAAAAAAAAUGUUCUCAGAAAUUCAC
Galendromus occidentalis (western predatory mite) is the source of this 609-nucleotide long non-coding RNA. RefSeq lists it as uncharacterized. The transcript has 3 exons. Lineage: Eukaryota; Metazoa; Arthropoda; Arachnida; Mesostigmata; Phytoseiidae. The record is from RefSeq and is a predicted model, not a curated record.